This 723-nucleotide long non-coding RNA is filed under the name Populus trichocarpa (black cottonwood). RNAcentral's name for it is "long non-coding RNA (PTRI_LNC003251)". The record is from RNAcentral. Lineage: Eukaryota; Viridiplantae; Streptophyta; Magnoliopsida; Malpighiales; Salicaceae.
UUAUAUAUUAGCUGAUAAAAUCCCUAACUCCUAGGAGGCUUCUUGAAGACAAAAGUGCUUCCCUCAAUUUCUUAAUGGAAAGUUGUGUAUCAUUAUACUUUUCCAAGGAAGGGCGUUUUUCUUUUCCAUCCUUUUUUUAUUUACAGCUUCAGAAAAGCCUUGUGCUUUUUUAGGCUUCCACAUCUGAAAGAUGCUUGCAUGGUGCUCUCUCUCUCUCUCUGUUCCCCUCCGAAUCUGCUUUUCAGCUCUUGAAGUGACCCGAGGCAACCUUGCUUCGGAGGUCCAUGCAAGGGGGCUUUGAAUUUGGUUUUGUGAGAGAAUGAUAGGAUAGGGAAAAAAGCCUCUUUUUUUAACACAUUUGCUCUCAUGUUCUUUGGUUUGAAGCGAUCUCUCUUUUACUGUUCAUUUUUUAACUGUAACCCUCCCACAAAAGCACGAUGUUAUUUUAGUUGAAUUUUCACCUUGUUCUUUCUUUUUAGCACAGCCACUUUUGAUUCUUUUACAUGAAUAUUUAGCCGGUGUAUGAACAUAUCUCUGGUUGGAGCGAGAGGCAGUUCCCUGUCAGAAAAAUGAACAAGGAGAUCAAAGCUAGCUGAAAAGCCAGUUUUCGACUACUAUAUAUUGAGGUCGUUGUAACCUCCAUUUGAUAAAUAUAUGUCUUCUUCUUCUUCUUUAUCCAACUCUUGAUUCCUCAAGUUAAUUACUAUAUUAAUUCUUAUUUUA